AGUGCAAUUUCUGGGUCACAUGCUAAAUAUGACAGUUUUCUAAGAAACUGUCAAGCUAUUUUCCAGAAUAGUUGUACCAUUUUAUGUUCUGUCAGGCAAU
RNAcentral lists this microRNA precursor (100 nucleotides) under Marmota monax (woodchuck). Lineage: Eukaryota; Metazoa; Chordata; Mammalia; Rodentia; Sciuridae. The record is from RNAcentral.